This 547-nucleotide ribosomal RNA is filed under the name uncultured bacterium. Its description in RNAcentral is "bacterial SSU rRNA". It matches the Rfam family "Bacterial small subunit ribosomal RNA", at positions 355 to 896 of the family's 1533-position model. The record is from RNAcentral.
UGGGGAAUAUUGCGCAAUGGGGGGAACCCUGACGCAGCCAUGCCGCGUGAAUGAAGAAGGCCUUAGGGUUGUAAAGUUCUUUCGGUAUUGAGGAAGGUUGAUGUGUUAAUAGCACAUCAAAUUGACGUUAAAUACAGAAGAAGCACCGGCUAACUCCGUGCCAGCAGCCGCGGUAAUACGGAGGGUGCGAGCGUUAAUCGGAAUAACUGGGCGUAAAGGGCACGCAGGCGGUUAUUUAAGUGAGGUGUGAAAGCCCCGGGCUUAACCUGGGAAUUGCAUUUCAGACUGGGUAACUAGAGUACUUUAGGGAGGGGUAGAAUUCCACGUGUAGCGGUGAAAUGCGUAGAGAUGUGGAGGAAUACCGAAGGCGAAGGCAGCCCCUUGGGAAUGUACUGACGCUCAUGUGCGAAAGCGUGGGGAGCAAACAGGAUUAGAUACCCUGGUAGUCCACGCUGUAAACGCUGUCGAUUUGGGGGUUGGGGUUUAACUCUGGCGUCCGUAGCUAACGUGAUAAAUCGACCGCCUGGGGAGUACGGCCGCAAGGUUA